GACAGAGGCCUCAAGCGUUAGGCGGAAUUACUGGGCGUAAAGCGCGCGUAGGCGGACCUGCAAGUCGGGGGUGAAAGCCCGAGGCUCAACCUCGGAACUGCCUUCGAUACUGCGGGUCUCGAGUCCGGGAGAGGUGAGUGGAAUUCCUAGUGUAGAGGUGAAAUUCGUAGAUAUUAGGAAGAACACCAGUGGCGAAGGCGGCUCACUGGCCCGGUACUGACGCUGAGGCGCGAAAGCGUGGGGAGCAAACAGG
This 253-nucleotide ribosomal RNA is filed under the name uncultured bacterium. Its description in RNAcentral is "partial 16S ribosomal RNA". It matches the Rfam family "Bacterial small subunit ribosomal RNA", at positions 524 to 776 of the family's 1533-position model. The record is from RNAcentral.